AAACCAAAUCCUUUCGGCUCCUUGGUGAAUCAUAAUAACUUACGAAAUCCCAUGGCCUUGCGCCAGCGAAUGGUUUCAUUCAAAUUUCUGCCCUAUCAACUUUCGAUGGUACGAUAGUGGCCUACCAUGGUGGCAACGGGUAACGGGGAAUUAUGGUUCUAUUCCGGAGAGGGAGCCUGAGAAACGGCUACCACAUCCAAGGAAGCAGCAAGCGCGCAAAUUACCCAAUCCCGAUACGGGGUAGGUAUUGACAAUAAAUACUGAUACGGGGCUCUUUUGGGUCUCGUAAUUGGAAUGAGAACAAUUUAAAUCCCUUAACGAGGAACAAUUGGNAGGCAAGUCUGGUGCCAGCAGCCGCGGUAAUUCCAGCUCCAAUAGCGUAUAUUAAAGUUGUUGCAGUUAAAAAGCUCGUAGUUGAACCUUGGGUCUGGCUGGCCGGUCCGCCUCACCGCGAGUACUGGUCCGGCUGGACCUUUCCUUCUGGGGAACCUCAUGGCCUUCACUGGCUGUGGGGGGAACCAGGACUUUUACUGUGAAAAAAUUAGAGUGUUCAAAGCAGGCCUUUGCUCGAAUACAUUAGCAUGGAAUAAUAGAAUAGGACGUGCGGUUCUAUUUUGUUGGUUUCUAGGACCGCCCGUAAUGAUUAAAUANGGGAUAGUCGGGGGCGUCAGUUAUUCAGCUGUCAAAAAGGUGAAAAUUCUUUGGAUUUGCCUGAAAAACUAACUUACUGCCGAAAAAGCCAUUCCCCCCAAGGGAAUGGUUUUUUCAUUUAAAUCAGGGAAACGAAAAAGUUUAAGGGGGAUCC
This 805-nucleotide ribosomal RNA is filed under the name Penicillium sp. ASR-292. Its description in RNAcentral is "bacterial SSU rRNA". It matches the Rfam family "Eukaryotic small subunit ribosomal RNA", at positions 219 to 1010 of the family's 1831-position model. The record is from RNAcentral. Lineage: Eukaryota; Fungi; Ascomycota; Eurotiomycetes; Eurotiales; Aspergillaceae.